Molecule: ribosomal RNA, 497 nt
Filed under: uncultured bacterium
Lineage: Bacteria
Description: partial 16S ribosomal RNA
Rfam family: Bacterial small subunit ribosomal RNA
Source: RNAcentral
GAUGAACGCUGGCGGCGUGCCUAAUACAUGCAAGUCGAGCGAACAGAUGAGGAGCUUGCUCCUCUGACGUUAGCGGCGGACGGGUGAGUAACACGUGGAUAACCUACCUAUAAGACUGGGAUAACUUCGGGAAACCGGAGCUAAUACCGGAUAAUAUAUUGAACCGCAUGGUUCAAUAGUGAAAGACGGUUUUGCUAUCACUUAUAGAUGGAUCCGCGCCGCAUUAGCUAGUUGGUAAGGUAACGGCUUACCAAGGCAACGAUGCGUAGCCGACCUGAGAGGGUGAUCGGCCACACUGGAACUGAGACACGGUCCAGACUCCUACGGGAGGCAGCAGUAGGGAAUCUUCCGCAAUGGGCGAAAGCUUGACGGAGCAACGCCGCGUGAGUGAUGAAGGCCUUCGGAUCGUAAAACUCUGUUAUUAGGGAAGAACAAAUGUGUAAGUAACUAUGCACGUCUUGACGGUACCUAAUCAGAAAGCCACGGCUAACUACGUG